This 439-nucleotide ribosomal RNA is filed under the name uncultured bacterium. Its description in RNAcentral is "bacterial SSU rRNA". It matches the Rfam family "Bacterial small subunit ribosomal RNA", at positions 28 to 451 of the family's 1533-position model. The record is from RNAcentral.
GAUGAACGCUGGCGGCGUGCCUAACACAUGCAAGUCGAACGAAACUGAUUCCAUGAAACUUCGGUAGAUUGGAUGAAAGUUGAGUGGCGGACGGGUGAGUAACACGUGGGCAACCUGCCUCACAGAGGGGGAUAGCAGUUGGAAACGACUGAUAAUACCGCAUAAGCACACAGUACCGCAUGGUACAGGGUGAAAAGAUUUAUCACUGUGAGAUGGACCCGCGUCUGAUUAGCCAGUUGGCAGGGUAACGGCCUACCAAAGCGACGAUCAGUAGCCGACCUGAGAGGGUGACCGGCCACAUUGGGACUGAGACACGGGCCCAAACUCCUACGGGAGGCAGCAGUGGGGGAUAUUGCACAAUGGAGGAAACUCUGAUGCAGCGACGCCGCGUGAGUGAAGAAGUAUUCGGUAUGUAAAGCUCUAUCAGCAGGGAAGAUAA